RNAcentral lists this ribosomal RNA (468 nucleotides) under uncultured bacterium. RNAcentral describes it as "partial 16S ribosomal RNA". It matches the Rfam family "Bacterial small subunit ribosomal RNA", at positions 28 to 507 of the family's 1533-position model. The record is from RNAcentral.
GAUGAACGCUGGCGGCGUGCUUAACACAUGCAAGUCGAACGGAAAGGCCCAAGCUUGCUUGGGUACUCGAGUGGCGAACGGGUGAGUAACACGUGGGUGAUCUGCCCUGCACUUCGGGAUAAGCCUUGGAAACUGGGUCUAAUACCGGAUAGGACCACGUCAUGGAUGUUGUGGUGGAAAGUUUUUUCGGUGUGGGAUGAGCUCGCGGCCUAUCAGCUUGUUGGUGGGGUAAUGGCCUACCAAGGCGUCGACGGGUAGCCGGCCUGAGAGGGUGUACGGCCACAUUGGGACUGAGAGACGGCCCAGACUCGUACGGGAGGCAGCAGUGGGGAAUAUUGCACAAUGGGCGCAAGCCUGAUGCAGCGACGCCGCGUGGGGGAUGACGGCCUUCGGGUUGUAAACUCCUAUCGCUAGGGACGAAGCGUUUUUGUGACGGUACCUGGAGAAGAAGCACCGGCUAACUACGUG